This 2322-nucleotide ribosomal RNA is filed under the name Salmonella enterica. Its description in RNAcentral is "partial 23S ribosomal RNA". It matches the Rfam family "Bacterial large subunit ribosomal RNA", at positions 628 to 2925 of the family's 2925-position model. Lineage: Bacteria; Pseudomonadati; Pseudomonadota; Gammaproteobacteria; Enterobacterales; Enterobacteriaceae. The record is from RNAcentral.
UUAUAUUCUGUAGCAAGGUUAACCGUAUAGGGGAGCCGGAGGGAAACCGAGUCUUAACCGGGCGUUAAGUUGCAGGGUAUAGACCCGAAACCCGGUGAUCUAGCCAUGGGCAGGUUGAAGGUUGGGUAACACUAACUGGAGGACCGAACCGACUAAUGUUGAAAAAUUAGCGGAUGACCUGUGGCUGGGGGUGAAAGGCCAAUCAAACCGGGAGAUAGCUGGUUCUCCCCGAAAGCUAUUUAGGUAGCGCCUCGUGAAUUCAUCUCCGGGGGUAGAGCACUGUUUCGGCUAGGGGGCCAUCCCGGCUUACCAACCCGAUGCAAACUGCGAAUACCGGAGAAUGUUAUCACGGGAGACACACGGCGGGUGCUAACGUCCGUCGUGAAGAGGGAAACAACCCAGACCGCCAGCUAAGGUCCCAAAGUCAUGGUUAAGUGGGAAACGAUGUGGGAAGGCCCAGACAGCCAGGAUGUUGGCUUAGAAGCAGCCAUCAUUUAAAGAAAGCGUAAUAGCUCACUGGUCGAGUCGGCCUGCGCGGAAGAUGUAACGGGGCUAAACCAUGCACCGAAGCUGCGGCAGCGACGCUGAUGCGUUGUUGGGUAGGGGAGCGUUCUGUAAGCCUGCGAAGGUGGCCUGUGAGGGUUGCUGGAGGUAUCAGAAGUGCGAAUGCUGACAUAAGUAACGAUAAAGCGGGUGAAAAGCCCGCUCGCCGGAAGACCAAGGGUUCCUGUCCAACGUUAAUCGGGGCAGGGUGAGUCGACCCCUAAGGCGAGGCCGAAAGGCGUAGUCGAUGGGAAACGGGUUAAUAUUCCCGUACUUGGUGUUACUGCGAAGGGGGGACGGAGAAGGCUAUGUUGGCCGGGCGACGGUUGUCCCGGUUUAAGCGUGUAGGUGUGUGUUCCAGGUAAAUCCGGUUCACUUUAACACUGAGGCGUGAUGACGAGGCACUACGGUGCUGAAGCAACAAAUGCCCUGCUUCCAGGAAAAGCCUCUAAGCAUCAGGUAACAUCAAAUCGUACCCCAAACCGACACAGGUGGUCAGGUAGAGAAUACCAAGGCGCUUGAGAGAACUCGGGUGAAGGAACUAGGCAAAAUGGUGCCGUAACUUCGGGAGAAGGCACGCUGACACGUAGGUGAAGUGAUUUACUCAUGGAGCUGAAGUCAGUCGAAGAUACCAGCUGGCUGCAACUGUUUAUUAAAAACACAGCACUGUGCAAACACGAAAGUGGACGUAUACGGUGUGACGCCUGCCCGGUGCCGGAAGGUUAAUUGAUGGGGUCAGCGCAAGCGAAGCUCCUGAUCGAAGCCCCGGUAAACGGCGGCCGUAACUAUAACGGUCCUAAGGUAGCGAAAUUCCUUGUCGGGUAAGUUCCGACCUGCACGAAUGGCGUAAUGAUGGCCAGGCUGUCUCCACCCGAGACUCAGUGAAAUUGAACUCGCUGUGAAGAUGCAGUGUACCCGCGGCAAGACGGAAAGACCCCGUGAACCUUUACUAUAGCUUGACACUGAACAUUGAGCCUUGAUGUGUAGGAUAGGUGGGAGGCUUUGAAGUGUGGACGCCAGUCUGCAUGGAGCCGACCUUGAAAUACCACCCUUUAAUGUUUGAUGUUCUAACGUGGACCCGUGAUCCGGGUUGCGGACAGUGUCUGGUGGGUAGUUUGACUGGGGCGGUCUCCUCCUAAAGAGUAACGGAGGAGCACGAAGGUUGGCUAAUCCUGGUCGGACAUCAGGAGGUUAGUGCAAUGGCAUAAGCCAGCUUGACUGCGAGCGUGACGGCGCGAGCAGGUGCGAAAGCAGGUCAUAGUGAUCCGGUGGUUCUGAAUGGAAGGGCCAUCGCUCAACGGAUAAAAGGUACUCCGGGGAUAACAGGCUGAUACCGCCCAAGAGUUCAUAUCGACGGCGGUGUUUGGCACCUCGAUGUCGGCUCAUCACAUCCUGGGGCUGAAGUAGGUCCCAAGGGUAUGGCUGUUCGCCAUUUAAAGUGGUACGCGAGCUGGGUUUAGAACGUCGUGAGACAGUUCGGUCCCUAUCUGCCGUGGGCGCUGGAGAACUGAGGGGGGCUGCUCCUAGUACGAGAGGACCGGAGUGGACGCAUCACUGGUGUUCGGGUUGUCAUGCCAAUGGCACUGCCCGGUAGCUAAAUGCGGAAGAGAUAAGUGCUGAAAGCAUCUAAGCACGAAACUUGCCCCGAGAUGAGUUCUCCCUGAGACUUUAGGUCUCCUGAAGGAACGUUGAAGACGACGACGUUGAUAGGCCGGGUGUGUAAGCGCAGCGAUGCGUUGAGCUAACCGGUACUAAUGAACCGUGAGGCUUAACCUUACA